CAAGACGUAGCUAUAACAAAAGCAUUCAGCUUACACCUGAAAGAUAUCUGUUAACUCCCAGAUCGCCUUGA
This 71-nucleotide transfer RNA is filed under the name Sula dactylatra (masked booby). RNAcentral describes it as "tRNA-Val". Lineage: Eukaryota; Metazoa; Chordata; Aves; Suliformes; Sulidae. The record is from RNAcentral.